RNAcentral lists this long non-coding RNA (1056 nucleotides) under Homo sapiens (human). RNAcentral describes it as "non-protein coding LINC01095:4". The record is from RNAcentral. Lineage: Eukaryota; Metazoa; Chordata; Mammalia; Primates; Hominidae.
UCCAGGGCUCCCUGAGGGAGGCCAGCACAAGAGCUCUGCCAUAAAAGGACAUUGGACAGAAGUGAAGAGUCCAAUCAGAAACUCUUUUUGAGAGACUGAACGCAAAGCAUUCAGAGAGUCAGCAGGCUGGAGAGGCCAAGACACACACACGAAGAAGGCAGGACACUCUUCUCCUCCUGCGGUUGGACUCCAGGCUCUAUGACCUUCAAACUCCAGGACUUACACCAGUUGCCCCUGGGCACUCAGGACUUCUGCUUCAGACUGACAGUUGCAGGACAGUGCAGCAUUUUAUUUUAAAGAUACCCCACAACGUAGGUGGCCAGUCCUGCUGCAGAUUGAGAGCUGUACUAGCCUGGCAUGCAGACAGCAGCUUUAGAAUCAGAUCUGCCUUCUGGCGGCUUCCCACCUAGGAGCCAUGGGACCUUUGUGAAGUCACCAAUUGUGCUGUGGAUGCUUCAUUUGUGAAGGAGAACAGGACUGCCUUGUGAAAUUACGGAUGGUGCUACUAAAACAUAUCAAUAAUUUGAAUUUCACUUUUGUGGAUGCUUUAAACAUCAUAGUCAUUAGAAGGUGGAUCUGGCUGAUUGUACUUUAAGUUUUCAGUUUGAGCUGGAGCUUUGUAUUAUAACAGGAGGGUACUGGACAAGAUGAGGAAACUGAGGUACAGAUGGGAAACUUGCUCAAGUUCACACAGCAAUUAAGUGAUCAAGUCCAAGAGCAAAACCAGGCAGGCUGGCUCCAGAGCUCACGAUAGUCCACCACUGCUUUCCACCAUCACUACGGAAUCAAGUCCAUGAGGAUACUCACCUUAUGUCAGUUGCCUAAGUUGGAAAUUAUAGAAUCUUCAAAUUGGAAGGGACGUUAUCAUCCAAGAUUUCAACUUUCUACUCACUGCAAAAUCCCUUCUGGAACUUCCCAGAUUGAUGAAUUUUCAUCAGCUCUGCUUGAGUACUCCCAGUGACUUGGAAAAAAAACACUGUAAUAUGGAUAUGAAAUAUAAACUGUUCAUGGAUAAAUUAUUGCAUAAUAAAAACAUGCCUAAUGGCUACACUCCCC